UUAUAUACAUACAAAUAUAUGAAGACAUGAGGGCUUCACAAGACAAUUUUACACAUUGUAAAAUGGUGUAUAAUUAAGUUGUAUGAAAUUUAGGAUGAACUGAGGUCAACCACAUACAUUUUUCUAUAGCCGAGGGCUUAGAUUGUAAACUACGAUAACCAUAGGGUUAAAUUGUUGAAAAGAGUAAGUUCGAGUACUAAACAGCAAAGUCCAUUGGCCUAAUGGCCCGGUUCUAAAAUGCAGCAAGCCAGAGGGCUAAACGGCAGAGACCUGUUAAACUGUGGUUUACACAGAUAUUUUAAGGGACUUAUACUAGAUUAGGCUCGAAUCUAAGGGCUGAAUUGAAAAUCCACCAAAGAGAUAAGAAAUCCCCAAUUUCUUCUCCCGUGUGUGCUUCCUGGCCACUGGUAACUGCCGCCGCUCAGUGCGAACCGGCCGGUAGUUGCGCCACCGCCGCUGCUUGGGAAGCGAGGCCGUGUCGCACAGCGCCUGAGGGCACCGCCAUGCGCAGGAAACUGUGCCGCACCGGAGUACGUUGGCCGCCCACUCGCGUCGAGCGCCGAUGAUCUUCGGGUGCGGUUGCAGCGCCUUAGGUGGUCGCUCGGACGAGCGCUGGAGGAUGCCGCUGGGAAGGCCGGGGGCCUCUAGCCCCAGGUGCCCUCGUGCCAGGGGAAGCAGCGUCGGGCCGGCGUUGAGAACUUCGGCGUGGAGGUUAGUGCGUCUUGUGUGCAAGAGCAAAAAGAAUGGAAUAUGGUCACCUGAUGAUGUAGCAAUUAAGAUCGAGAGUUUGGUGUUUGUAUAAAUUAAUGCUUCAUCGUCUUGGAGAAGGGGCGGCCCAGAUCCUCGUUAUUUUUCAUGUGAUCCCCUUUUCUCUUCUUCUGUUCUUGGCCGAACUUGGUGUUUCGUCUGUGAGGACGAUUUUUCUCCUCAAUCCUCUGUCUUCUUUUUGGCAGUUAUUGGUAUGGAUUUUCGAUCGAGUGAUCCUGGAUGCCAACGCCCAUAUCCUUUUCUGUGCGUCUUCCUUGUGUAAUUGAAAAUUGUGCCCAAUUUCAAGUUCUGAUGUUCCUGCUUGGAGUAUGAUAAAUCCGCUCAAUUGAUUGAUUUUCUGUCCUUUGGCAGAGUGUGUUCGAGGCUUCCAAUUCUUGAAUCGAUGGAGGCUGGCGCUGCGUUCUUCCAUCGGUUCUUCUUUCUUUGUAGUUCACGAUUGAUCAAUUCUUCGUGAGAUUCGUUAGCCAACUUCUCCAGACUUCUCCAGUCAUCGUCUGCGGCAAUUGCAGAUCGCCGGAGUGGCCUCCUCUGGCCAUAGAGAGGCCUUGCCGUUUGCCGCCGCUGUCGUCGGCAGUCAUGUGGCGGAUUGAAGCGCCGGAGGGCGCCGCUUCGACGCGCAUACAGAGGAGGGCGUCGUCAACCAUGGGGUGCCUCAGCCGCCUGCAUCGCGCGCUGGUGCUGCGCCGCUGGAGCGCUGUCGAGGCCGAGGGUCCUCGUGUCCUUGGGGCCGGAGGGAGGGUCAGGGACGGUGGAGCCGUCGAGUUCUUGGCCUAAUUGAUCUCUGGAAGAGGCGUGCGUGAUAACGUGUUAGAGAGAAUCGAGAGAGAGGAGCGAAUGGAAAACAGAUAUAUGAAUGAACAGUUAUUCUAUUGAUUGAA
Molecule: RNA transcript, 1646 nt
Organism: Triticum aestivum (bread wheat)
Lineage: Eukaryota; Viridiplantae; Streptophyta; Magnoliopsida; Poales; Poaceae
Exons: 2
Source: RefSeq, a predicted model, not a curated record